Molecule: long non-coding RNA, 478 nt
Filed under: Trifolium pratense (red clover)
Lineage: Eukaryota; Viridiplantae; Streptophyta; Magnoliopsida; Fabales; Fabaceae
Description: long non-coding RNA (TPRA_LNC010387)
Source: RNAcentral
CCGAAUUGUGGUGCAACCGGCCAUGACACACGGAAUUGUCCAAACAAAAGGAAACAUAAUGACAUAUUGCCUAAUGAAUCACCUAAUGAGUAAGUUUUACUUGAAUGAAAAUAAUGAAUGGUUGUUUCUUUUCAAUGCUAAUAUUGACUGUUUGUUUUUCUUAUGAUUAGGUUCAAAAAGGGUUGGAGAAAUUCAUCUAAUUAAUAGUCAAAAAAGGCUUCGAGGAUGUAAUGGAUAAAAGUGAUGAUAGUAAUUCAACAGAGAUGUGUUUCAUGUUUUCUGGUGUGGUUUUAGUAGUGGGAGUAGUAGCUAUAAUACAAUGACAUAGUGUUGACUAUAUCAUUGGAUAAAAGUACUAAGUUGCUUUUCAUUAACUAGUCUUAUAGUUCUCUUUAAUUGAUGUAAUGAGAUGUUAAAGUUUGUUUUAUUGGUAUCAUAAUAUGUUCUAGUGUUAUUUUUUUAAUUGGCCGAAUAUGAA